UACGGAGGGGGUCAGCGUUGUUCGGAAUUACUGGGCGUAAAGCGCGCGUAGGCGGAUUAGAAAGUUGGGGGUGAAAUCCCGGGGCUCAACCUCGGAACUGCCUCCAAAACUGCUAGUCUAGAGUUCGAGAGAGGUGAGUGGAAUUCCGAGUGUAGAGGUGAAAUUCGUAGAUAUUCGGAGGAACACCAGUGGCGAAGGCGGCUCACUGGCUCGAUACUGACGCUGAGGUGCGAAAGUGUGGGGAGCAAACAGG
Molecule: ribosomal RNA, 253 nt
Filed under: uncultured bacterium
Lineage: Bacteria
Description: partial 16S ribosomal RNA
Rfam family: Bacterial small subunit ribosomal RNA
Source: RNAcentral